This 1857-nucleotide long non-coding RNA is filed under the name Malus domestica (apple). Its description in RNAcentral is "long non-coding RNA (MDOM_LNC009056)". Lineage: Eukaryota; Viridiplantae; Streptophyta; Magnoliopsida; Rosales; Rosaceae. The record is from RNAcentral.
AUUCUUCAUUAAAGUUAUGAGAGGUUACAUCAUUAUGAAGAGAAACAAAAGCGAUAACAUCUUGUUCUCCCGGCCACCUAGUAAACAAGAAUUUAUGGUUACUCAUAAGUAGAUUAGAUAUUAAUGGUUGGCAUUAAAACAUUACAAGCACCGGAUUGCUAGUAUCGUGUUAGUGAUGGGGCUAGCUAAAAUCGGAGGAAAUCCCAUAGCUCCUGGCAGAGGAGCUAGCUAAAUAUCUCUCUCUCUCUCAUUGAGUCAAUACCGCUAGCUCCCAUCCAUCUGUCCUCCUUCCCCCAACGACGCUCCGACCAAAUCACAGCCAUCUCUCCCCGAGUCAAAAUUUGCAGCCCUCCAAGCGCCCAAACCCACAAAGCCCAUUCUUUAAAGCAAAGGAAUGGUCGUAAAUAAAAUGAAAUUCGGACCUAAACACUGUUCAUUUGAACAGUGUAAUUUAGGAUCCUUCUGUAGACUAAGGUAAUGACGCUAACAGUUUUGCAUGCAGGGCGCAUAGUUUAAUAAAUUAACUAAUUAUUAUUCAUUUCAAAAAUUCUCUCUGAACCAGCUAAUUAAUCAAAUAGUUAAGAACGAUUAUGUUUGUUAAAUUCUUUUGCUUUUAAGACUUAAGCCCUUCUACAAUCUCACAAAUGGCGUGUUGGAACUCCAGCAAGCAAAAUAUAUUGCGACUUGUAUUCUAUAAUUCCAGACAUCAUAGCAAACUAACAUAUUAGAUACGUACACUUUCAGUCAUAAGAAACAUUCCAGAAAAAUAAGGUUCUUGCAAUGCAAACUAAUACAAAUUUCAAAACCAAAAACUGUGAUAUGCACCAAUUAUGUAUAAACUAACAAGUUUUGAUUUUGUUCAUCGACAAAACAAACAACCGAAGUUGUUUUCAGCUCCUUUCUUGAUGACUCUAGAAGAAAAUAAGCUCCGCGGUGGACUUUACUUUGCCGGCUCCUAGCCCAUCUCCUUAGCUAUACUUGCAAAAAAAAAAAAAAAAAAAAAAAAAAGAAAUUGAUUCGAAAACUUUGCAUGCAUUUCAACAUUGACAUAUCAUCAAAUAUCAUCAAUACAUAUAUAGAUGAUAGAUUGACUCGUGUGCAGAUACAAUAAGAACAAAAAAAACUUAAGAAAACUAACGAAAAGUCCUCAAAAACUUUAAUUUUAAUGAAAAAGAUAUAAAAGGUGUAAGUGAAUAGCACCAGGAGUCACUUUCAAGGUAAAAAUAUCAUUUUCGUUAAAAGUAAAUAGUAUCGGUAGUGUUUCAUUUAGAUUCCCAAAAAACUUUGUAUGUGCCUAACAAUACACGGGGUUUGUUUCAAGGGAUACUUUGAAUGCGGCCUAUAAUCCUUAACAUUCUUUGAUUAAAAUCUUAAUAAUAUUCAAAGUUUGAUCAAGGUCCAUUGACUUUGUACACCUCAUUAUAAUACUAUUAAUAUUUAUAUUUGGGAAAAUUAGGUUCACAUCCUUCUUUUUGUUACUCCAUUGAUUAAAAUCCUAUUCAUUUUCAAUUUUUUAUCAAGGUCCUUGGGUAUUAAUAACAUCAUUAAUUAUUUGAAUAAUAAAAUAUUUUUAUUUUUAAAUAUAUUCCUUUAAUGUUAAAAAUGUUACAAUUAGUAUAUUUAUAUUUAUGGCUAAAUGUUUUAUCAUAUAUUUUUAUUUUAGUUUGUACCUAUUUUUAAUUUGCAAAUAUUUUUUAAUUUGUACCAAUUUUCUUUUCAUUUUUAAUUUGUACCCAUAUAUUAGUUUCUUUUUGUGCCCAUAUUUUUUAAAAUAUUAUUUGUAUUUGUACCCAUGUGUAUACCGUCACGUGACAUUUAAUCAAGGGAAAAUUAGGUUCACAACCUUCUUUUUGUUAC